RNAcentral lists this ribosomal RNA (253 nucleotides) under uncultured bacterium. RNAcentral describes it as "partial 16S ribosomal RNA". It matches the Rfam family "Bacterial small subunit ribosomal RNA", at positions 524 to 776 of the family's 1533-position model. The record is from RNAcentral.
UACGGAGGGUGCAAACGUUGCUCGGAAUCAUUGGGCGUAAAGCGCACGUAGGCGGACCAUCAAGUCGGUUGUGAAAUCCCUCGGCUUAACCGAGGACGUGCAUUCGAAACUGAUGGCCUUGAGUACGAAAGAGGAUCGCGGAAUUCCCGGUGUAGAGGUGAAAUUCGUAGAUAUCGGGAGGAACACCAGUUGCGAAGGCGGCCGACUGGACACAUAUUGACGCUGAGGCUCGAAAGCAUGGGGAGCAAACAGG